This 252-nucleotide ribosomal RNA is filed under the name uncultured Lactobacillus sp. Its description in RNAcentral is "partial 16S ribosomal RNA". It matches the Rfam family "Bacterial small subunit ribosomal RNA", at positions 111 to 356 of the family's 1533-position model. Lineage: Bacteria; Bacillati; Bacillota; Bacilli; Lactobacillales; Lactobacillaceae. The record is from RNAcentral.
UAACACGUGGGUAACCUGCCCAAGAGAUCGGGAUAACACCUGGAAACAGAUGCUAAUACCGGAUAAAAGCUACUUUCGCAUGAAAGAAGUUUAAAAGGCGGCGUAAGCUGUCGCUAAAGGAUGGACCUGCGAUGCAUUAGCUAGUUGGUAAGGUAGCGGCUUACCAAGGCGAUGAUGCAUAGCCGAGUUGAGAGAUUGAUCGGCCACAUUGGGACUGAGACACGGCCCAAACUCCUACGGGAGGCAGCAGUG